AUGGCCGUCAUCUUAAGAGACGUUUGUACUUCUUGGUCUAUACUUCUGGGUAAUAGUUUUGCCUAGCCAUCUGCCUUCCUGAAUAAGGUACCAGGAGACAUGGAUGAACAUGAUAAUUGCUCUAUUUUACCACUUACUUGCAGGAACCAUUUUUAAAGUAUGAUAAGAGUGUGGGGGCCAGACAAAUGGAACAUUCCUAAUUAUAAUCAGGAGCUUCAGGUAGCACAAAAAGCUUGCUUGCAA
RNAcentral lists this long non-coding RNA (243 nucleotides) under Pan troglodytes (chimpanzee). Its description in RNAcentral is "long non-coding RNA NONPTRT001104". The record is from RNAcentral. Lineage: Eukaryota; Metazoa; Chordata; Mammalia; Primates; Hominidae.